This 665-nucleotide ribosomal RNA is filed under the name uncultured Vibrionaceae bacterium. RNAcentral describes it as "bacterial SSU rRNA". It matches the Rfam family "Bacterial small subunit ribosomal RNA", at positions 1 to 653 of the family's 1533-position model. Lineage: Bacteria; Pseudomonadati; Pseudomonadota; Gammaproteobacteria; Vibrionales; Vibrionaceae. The record is from RNAcentral.
CGCGGGAUUAGAGUUUGAUCAUGGCUCAGAUUGGACGCUGGCGGCAGGCCUAACACAUGCAAGUCGAGCGGUAACAGGAAUUAGCUUGCUAAUUCGCUGACGAGCGGCGGACGGGUGAGUAAUGCCUGGGAAUAUGCCUUAGUGUGGGGGAUAACUAUUGGAAACGAUAGCUAAUACCGCAUAAUGUCUUCGGACCAAAGAGGGGGACCUUCGGGCCUCUCGCGCUAAGAUUAGCCCAGGUGAGAUUAGCUUGUUGGUGAGGUAAGAGCUCACCAAGGCGACGAUCUCUAGCUGGUCUGAGAGGAUGAUCAGCCACACUGGAACUGAGACACGGUCCAGACUCCUACGGGAGGCAGCAGUGGGGAAUAUUGCACAAUGGGCGCAAGCCUGAUGCAGCCAUGCCGCGUGUAUGAAGAAGGCCUUCGGGUUGUAAAGUACUUUCAGUGGGGAGGAAGGUGUUGUCGUUAAUAGCGGCAGCAUUUGACGUUACCCACAGAAGAAGCACCGGCUAACUCCGUGCCAGCAGCCGCGGUAAUACGGAGGGUGCGAGCGUUAAUCGGAAUUACUGGGCGUAAAGCGCAUGCAGGUGGUUCAUUAAGUCAGAUGUGAAAGCCCGGGGCUCAACCUCGGAACCGCAUUUGAAACUGGUGAACUAGAGUACUGUA